This 475-nucleotide ribosomal RNA is filed under the name uncultured organism. RNAcentral's name for it is "partial 16S ribosomal RNA". It matches the Rfam family "Bacterial small subunit ribosomal RNA", at positions 330 to 797 of the family's 1533-position model. The record is from RNAcentral.
CGUACACUCCUGCGGGAGGCAGCAGUGGGGAAUAUUGCACAAUGGGCGCAAGCCUGAUGCAGCCAUGCCGCGUGUAUGAAGAAGGCCUUCGGGUUGUAAAGUACUUUCAGCGGGGAGGAAGGCGAUAAGGUUAAUAACCUUGUUGAUUGACGUUACCAGCAGAAGAAGCACCGGCUAACUCCGUGCCAGCAGCCGCGGUAAUACGGAGGGUGCAAGCGUUAAUCGGAAUUACUGGGCGUAAAGCGCACGCAGGCGGUCUGUCAAGUCGGAUGUGAAAUCCCCGGGCUCAACCUGGGAACUGCAUUCGAAACUGGCAGGCUAGAGUCUUGUAGAGGGGGGUAGAAUUCCAGGUGUAGCGGUGAAAUGCGUAGAGAUCUGGAGGAAUACCGGUGGCGAAGGCGGCCCCCUGGACAAAGACUGACGCUCAGGUGCGAAAGCGUGGGGAGCAAACAGGAUUAGAAACCCCGGUAGUCCC